UCCGUGUCGUGAGAUGUGGGUUAAGUCCCGCAACGAGCGCAACCCUUGCCUUUAGUUGCCAGCAGUUCGGCUGGGCACUCUAAAGGGACUGCCGGUGUUAAACCGGAGGAAGGUGGGGAUGACGUCAAGUCCUCAUGGCCUUUAUGACCAGGGCUACACACGUACUACAAUGGCCGAUACAAAGGGCAGCGACACUGCGAGGUGAAGCCAAUCCCGUAAAAAUCGGUCUCAGUCCGGAUUGGAGUCUGCAACUCGACUCCAUGAAGUUGGAAUCGCUAGUAAUCGUGGAUCAGCAUGCCACGGUGAAUACGUUCCCGGGCCUU
RNAcentral lists this ribosomal RNA (323 nucleotides) under uncultured Desulfobulbus sp. RNAcentral describes it as "bacterial SSU rRNA". It matches the Rfam family "Bacterial small subunit ribosomal RNA", at positions 1059 to 1382 of the family's 1533-position model. Lineage: Bacteria; Pseudomonadati; Thermodesulfobacteriota; Desulfobulbia; Desulfobulbales; Desulfobulbaceae. The record is from RNAcentral.